UGAUUUUUCCCUUUGGUCAUAGCAGAAGCAUUCUUGUCAUGGCCCGUCAGAUUCCUGUGAAUCUGCGAAUUCUGCU
RNAcentral lists this ribozyme (76 nucleotides) under Chelonoidis abingdonii (Abingdon island giant tortoise). Its description in RNAcentral is "Mammalian CPEB3 ribozyme (ENSCABG00000006715.1)". It matches the Rfam family "Mammalian CPEB3 ribozyme". Rfam says of the family: The mammalian CPEB3 ribozyme is a self cleaving RNA located in the second intron of the CPEB3 gene which belongs to a family of genes regulating messenger RNA polyadenylation. This ribozyme is highly conserved and found only in mammals. The record is from Rfam by way of RNAcentral. Lineage: Eukaryota; Metazoa; Chordata; Testudines; Testudinidae.